GACGAACGCUGGCGGCGUGCUUAACACAUGCAAGUCGAACGGUAAGGCCCUUCGGGGUACACGAGUGGCGAACGGGUGAGUAACACGUGGGUGAUCUGCCCUGCACUUCGGGAUAAGCCUGGGAAACUGGGUCUAAUACCGGAUAGGACCACUGCCUGCAUGGGUGGAGGUGGAAAGCUUUUGCGGUGUGGGAUGGGCCGGCGGCCUAUCAGCUUGUUGGUGGGGUGAUGGCCUACCAAGGCGACGACGGGUAGCCGGCCUGAGAGGGUGACCGGCCACACUGGGACUGAGAUACGGCGCAGACUCGUCCGGAAGGCAGCGGUGGGGAAUAUUGCACAAUGGGCGCAAGCCUGAUGCAGCGACGCAGCGUGAGGGAUGACGGCCUUCGGGUUGUAAACCUCUUUCAGCACCGACGAAGCGCAAGUGACGGUAGGUGCAGAAGAAGGACCGGCCAACUACGUGCCAGCAGCCGCCGAA
This 477-nucleotide ribosomal RNA is filed under the name uncultured bacterium. Its description in RNAcentral is "partial 16S ribosomal RNA". It matches the Rfam family "Bacterial small subunit ribosomal RNA", at positions 28 to 522 of the family's 1533-position model. The record is from RNAcentral.